ACCUUUUGACCUUGACCUAAUUUUCAUUUUUUUGGACCAAGGAUCUUAAAUCAAAAGACCCUAGGUCUCUAUCACUUAUAGUUUACCAGUUAGAAAUGCAUAUCACUGAUAUCAUAUAUAAAAGGGGGGAUAACUCUCAUAUGGAGUCUCCGGAUAGCUUCGGUUGAAAUGAAACAGAACAUCCUAAGGAUAUAACGAGCAAUUUGGAUAAAUAAAUUUGUCGGUUUCUUAUACGGUCGCGAAGGAGUAGUGGCCACAAGAAAAACAGUGUUCGGGGAGAUAACUCUUACAAGGUAAAGUUUUUUGUUACGCGGUGUCAGUUUCAGAAGCCUAUUAACUGUUGAUAUCAUUUACCUUAUAUCUAAGCGAUAUCUUGUGAAAACAAAAAAACAGCGAAGGAAAAAAAGUUGGCGGAAGAAAAAAAAAAAAAAUUAAAAACCAAUUGUUCAAAGAACAAUUGAAGGUCUUUCAACCAAUAAGGAUCUAUUUUGAUAUGAAAAUAUUAAAAUUCAGUUGAAAAUGUCAGUUCCUAUGGCUUAAUGAUGUAUAAAUAUGAAUUUUAAGCAAAGGUCAAAAUCUAGAACGUCCAAUUAACCUAUGACCUUGACCUCAAUUUCAAGGUCAUAGACUAAACAUCUCAAAUAAAAAGACACUAGUUCCUUAAUAUGUAUGGUUCAUGAGUAAAAUCACUUUACGCAUAAUUCUUAAUAUAAGAGGGGCGAAAACUCCCUUUUAUUGUUUACGCACCCUCGCAAACCAAAUUUAUAAGUAACGACAUGUCGUAACUAACAAUUUAGUAAAAAGAAAUUGUCGAUAUCUUAUAAGGUUGAUGAAAAAAGGUGAAAAUAAGCCAAAAUCAAAAUUAAGAAUUUGACCUUGACCUUUGACCUUGACCUAAUUUUCAUUUUUUGGACCAAGGAUCUUAAAUCAAAAGACCCUAGGUCUCUAUCACUUAUAGUUUACCAGUUAGAAAUGCAUAUCACUGAUAUCGUAUAUAAAAGGGGGAUAACUCUCAUAUGGGUCUCCGGAUAGCUUCCGUUGAAAUGAAACAGAACAUCCUAAGGAUAUAACGAGCAAUUUGGAAAAAUAAAUUUGUCGGUUUCUUAUACAGUUGCGAAGUAGUAGUGGCCACAAGAAAAACAGUGUUUGGGAGAUAACUCUUACAAGGUAAAGGUUUUUGUACGCGGUGUCAGUUUCAGAAGCGCAUUAACUGUUCGAUAUCAAUACCAAAAUCUAAGCGACAUCUUGUGAAACAAAAAACACGAAGGAAAAAAAGUUUGGCGGAAGAAAAAAAAAAAAAAAAAAAUAAUUAAAAACCAAUUGUUCAAAGAACAAUUGAAGGUCUUUCAACCAAUAAGGAUCUAUUUAGAUAUGAAAAUAUUAAAAUUCAGUUGAAAAUGUCAGUUCGUAUGGCUUAAUGAUGUAUAAAUAUGAAUUUUAAGCAAAGGUCAAAAUCUAGAACGUCCAAUUAACCUAUGACCUUGACCUCAAUUUCAAGGUCAUAGACUAAACAUCUCAAAUAAAAAGACACUAGUUCCUUAAUAUGUAUGGUUCAUGAGUAAAAUCACUUUACGCAUAAUUCUUAAUAUAAGAGGGGCGAAAACUCCCUUUUAUUGUUUACGCACCCUCGCAACCAAAAUUUAUAAGUUACGACAUGUCGCAACUAACAAUUUAGUAAAAAAAAAUUGUCGAUAUCUUAUAAGUUAAUGAAAAUAAGUGAAAAUAAGCCAAAAUCAAAAUUUAGAAUUUGACCUUGACCUUUGACCUUGACCUAAUUUUCAUUUUUUUGGACCAAGGAUCUUAAAUCUAAAGACCCUAGGUCUCUAUCACUUAUGGUUUACCAGUUAGAUAUGCAUAUCACUUAUAUCAUAUAAAAAGGGGGGAUAACUCUCAUAUGGAGUCUCCGUAUAGCUUCGGUCAAAAUAAAACAGAUCAUCCUGAGGACUGAACGAGCAAUUUGGAAAAAUAAAUUUGUCGGUUUUUUAUACGGUUGCAAAGCCUUAGAGGACACAAGAAAAACAGUGUUUGGGGAGAUAACUCUUACAAGGUGAAAUUUUUUGUUACGCGGUGUCAGUUUCAGAAGCGUAUUAACUGUUCGAUAUCAUAUACCAUAUAUCUAAGCGACAUCUUGUGAAACAAAAAAACAGCGAAGGAAAAAAAAGUUGGCGGAAGAAAAAAAAAAAAAAUAAUAAUAAUAAUAAUAAUAAUCAGAACGAAUUCAAUAGGUCUUUCAACAGAAAGGUUGAAAGACCUAAUAAUAAUAAUAAUAA
Molecule: long non-coding RNA, 2270 nt
Filed under: Mytilus galloprovincialis (Mediterranean mussel)
Lineage: Eukaryota; Metazoa; Mollusca; Bivalvia; Mytilida; Mytilidae
Source: RNAcentral